Populus nigra (black poplar) is the source of this 1307-nucleotide long non-coding RNA. RefSeq lists it as uncharacterized. The record is from RefSeq and is a predicted model, not a curated record. The transcript is spliced from 4 exons. Lineage: Eukaryota; Viridiplantae; Streptophyta; Magnoliopsida; Malpighiales; Salicaceae.
GCACUGCAAUAGUGCAAUAUAUGUUUUCUCCAGACCAACAACGGCAUGCCAAUUGUCACUCAUCCAUGUUUUACCCUAAAUUCCUUAUCUCUGAAGAGAAAAUCUUUGAUAUCGACGACUGCCUCACGGCGUCCUCUCAUCUACAGCAGCGAUCUCACUCUCCUUCCUCUGCCAUACCUGGCCCUCCCUCUGCUCUUCCAUUAGUUUUUCUUUUUCUCAUGGAGUAAUAUUAAAUGCUCGCAUCUCCCACUCAAGAAAGAAAGGAACCGUUACUUUCAAGAGAGAGAAAACAAACAACUCUCCACUGUUUGGUUGUGCUUGGAAUUAGGGGAAAUGGGGCUGAUUUCAGGGAUAUUUUGGGGAUCAUCUUUGGAAUCGGGUUGAUGGCUAGAGUAUGAAUGGAAACACAUGAUGCAGAACCGAAGCACCAAAAGAGUUGCUAAGGUGAAAUGGCUAAACAAGCAACUGGGCAAAUUACGGCCUUUUGCUGCAGAAGAAAUUAGACAAGCACUGCAGCCAUAAAACGACUUCCAAAAUCAGAUACCUCUAUACAAAACCACAAAAUCAUGCGACUUCUGGUGGCUGGGGCAGGUUAAGAUCAAGAUCAAGAUCAAGUGACGAAUCUGAAUCACUCUGGAUCCCACCUACAUUCACCAUCUCCAUUCAUUCAAACCUAGGAUGGCUUUAAUCAUCAAAACAACCUAUUUUUAUAUUAAAUAAUUCCAUAUAAUAAAAGAUGUUAAAAUUAUAUGUUUUUUUUACUUUGAAAAGAAUUAAAAAAACAUAUUUGAAUUUGAAAAACUUUUGGGGUGGUUUUUGCAUUUUUGAAGCUAUGAAUUAGUUUAACAUGGUUCUUAAAAUAUUUUAUAGGUUUUUUGGAUAAAAAAUUAGCUUUAAAUAAGUUUUUGAGUGAAAAAACCAUGAACCCAUGUGUAUUUGACUUGACUUACUAGAUCCAAAAAUAUUAGACCUUAUUUAUUUUUUUAAAAAAAAUUAAUACCUUUUUUAGGUAUUUUAAAAAUAUUUUUUUGAUUUAUGUUUUAGUUGAUACCUCUUAUCUAUUUUGUUUUGCAUUUUUAGUUUUUUUAAAUAACAAUUUUUUUUUUAAUUAUAUUGAAUGUGUUCUUUUAGGAGAUUAGUAUAAUUUAUCUAUAAUUUUUUCUUAUUUAUUUUAUAUAGAUUAAAUAUUUAUUUUUUAUAAUAUUUUUAUUAUUUGCAACAUUACAUAUUAUUUUUUUCCUUUUAUUUUAUUCAAUGAGUUUUAUGUGUAUAUUGAUUUCUAUUAUAAAUUGAUUUUAAUAAACAAA